Molecule: ribosomal RNA, 433 nt
Filed under: uncultured bacterium
Lineage: Bacteria
Description: partial 16S ribosomal RNA
Rfam family: Bacterial small subunit ribosomal RNA
Source: RNAcentral
AACGAACGCUGGCGGCAUGCCUAACACAUGCAAGUCGAACGAGACCUUCGGGUCUAGUGGCGCACGGGUGCGUAACGCGUGGGAACCUGCCCUUAGGUUCGGAAUAACUCCCCGAAAGGGGUGCUAAUACCGGAUAAUGUCUUCGGACCAAAGAUUUAUCGCCUUUGGAUGGGCCCGCGUUGGAUUAGCUAGUUGGUAGGGUAAAAGCCUACCAAGGCGACGAUCCAUAGCUGGUCUGAGAGGAUGAUCAGCCACACUGGGACUGAGUCACGGCCCAGACUCCUACGGGAGGCAGCAGUGGGGAAUAUUGGACAAUGGGCGAAAGCCUGAUCCAGCAAUGCCGCGUGAGUGAUGAAGGCCUUAGGGUUGUAAAGCUCUUUUACCCGGGAUGAUAAUGAUAGUACCGGGAGAAUAAGCUCCGGCUAACUCCGUG